UACGGAGGGGGCAAGCGUUGUUCGGAAUUACUGGGCGUAAAGGGCUCGUAGGCGGCCAACUAAGUCAGACGUGAAAUCCCUCGGCUUAACCGGGGAACUGCGCCUGAUACUGGAUGGCUUGAGUUUGGGAGAGGGAUGCGGAAUUCCAGGUGUAGCGGUGAAAUGCGUAGAUAUCUGGAGGAACACCGGUGGCGAAGGCGGCAUCCUGGACCAACACUGACGCUGAGGAGCGAAAGCCAGGGGAGCAAACGGG
RNAcentral lists this ribosomal RNA (253 nucleotides) under uncultured bacterium. Its description in RNAcentral is "partial 16S ribosomal RNA". It matches the Rfam family "Bacterial small subunit ribosomal RNA", at positions 524 to 776 of the family's 1533-position model. The record is from RNAcentral.